This 195-nucleotide ribosomal RNA is filed under the name uncultured Helicobacter sp. Its description in RNAcentral is "partial 23S ribosomal RNA". It matches the Rfam family "Bacterial large subunit ribosomal RNA", at positions 1945 to 2139 of the family's 2925-position model. Lineage: Bacteria; Pseudomonadati; Campylobacterota; Epsilonproteobacteria; Campylobacterales; Helicobacteraceae. The record is from RNAcentral.
ACGGUCCUAAGGUAGCGAAAUUCCUUGUCGGUUAAAUACCGACCUGCAUGAAUGGCGUAACGAGAUGGGAGCUGUCUCAACCAGAGAUUCAGUGAAAUUGUAGUGGAGGUGAAAAUUCCUCCUACCCGCGGCAAGACGGAGAGACCCCGUGGACCUUUACUACAACUUAGCACUGCUAAUGGGAAUAUCAUGCGA